RNAcentral lists this ribosomal RNA (468 nucleotides) under uncultured bacterium. Its description in RNAcentral is "partial 16S ribosomal RNA". It matches the Rfam family "Bacterial small subunit ribosomal RNA", at positions 28 to 507 of the family's 1533-position model. The record is from RNAcentral.
GACGAACGCUGGCGGCGUGCUUAACACAUGCAAGUCGAACGGAAAGGCCCUGCUUUUGUGGGGUGCUCGAGUGGCGAACGGGUGAGUAACACGUGAGUAACCUGCCCUUGACUUUGUGAUAACUUCAGGAAACUGGGGCUAAUACCGGAUAGGAUCUCCUGCUGCGUGGGGGGGGUUGGAAAGUUUCGGCGGUUGUGGAUGGACUCGCGGCUUAUCAGCUGGUUGGGGGGGUAGUGGCUUACCAAGGCUUUGACGGGUAGCCGGCCUGAGAGGGUGACCGGCCACAUUGGGACUGAGAUACGGCCCAGACGCCUACGGGAGGCAGCAGUGGGGAAUAUUGCACAAUGGGCGGAAGCCUGAUGCAGAAACGCCGCGUGCGGGAUGCCGGCCUUCGGGUUGUAAACCGCUUUCGCCUGUGACGAAGCGUGAGUGACGGUAAUGGGUAAAGAAGCACCGGCUAACUACGUG